This 1372-nucleotide ribosomal RNA is filed under the name uncultured bacterium. RNAcentral's name for it is "bacterial SSU rRNA". It matches the Rfam family "Bacterial small subunit ribosomal RNA", at positions 28 to 1381 of the family's 1533-position model. The record is from RNAcentral.
GAUGAACGCUGGCGGCGUGCCUAAUACAUGCAAGUCGAGCGAACGGACGAGAAGCUUGCUUCUCUGAUGUUAGCGGCGGACGGGUGAGUAACACGUGGAUAACCUACCUAUAAGACUGGGAUAACUUCGGGAAACCGGAGCUAAUACCGGAUAAUAUUUUGAUCUGCAUGGUUCAAAAGUAAAAGACGGUCUUGCUGUCACUUAUAGAUGGAUCCGCGCUGCAUUAGCUAGUUGGUAAGGUAACGGCUUACCAAGGCAACGAUGCAUAGCCGACCUGAGAGGGUGAUCGGCCACACUGGAACUGAGACACGGUCCAGACUCCUACGGGAGGCAGCAGUAGGGAAUCUUCCGCAAUGGGCGAAAGCCUGACGGAGCAACGCCGCGUGAGUGAUGAAGGUCUUCGGAUCGUAAAACUCUGUUAUUAGGGAAGAACAUAUGUGUAAGUAACUGUGCACAUCUUGACGGUACCUAAUCAGAAAGCCACGGCUAACUACGUGCCAGCAGCCGCGGUAAUACGUAGGUGGCAAGCGUUAUCCGGAAUUAUUGGGCGUAAAGCGCGCGUAGGCGGUUUUUUAAGUCUGAUGUGAAAGCCCACGGCUCAACCGUGGAGGGUCAUUGGAAACUGGAAAACUUGAGUGCAGAAGAGGAAAGUGGAAUUCCAUGUGUAGCGGUGAAAUGCGCAGAGAUAUGGAGGAACACCAGUGGCGAAGGCGACUUUCUGGUCUGUAACUGACGCUGAUGUGCGAAAGCGUGGGGAUCAAACAGGAUUAGAUACCCUGGUAGUCCACGCCGUAAACGAUGAGUGCUAAGUGUUAGGGGGUUUCCGCCCCUUAGUGCUGCAGCUAACGCAUUAAGCACUCCGCCUGGGGAGUACGACCGCAAGGUUGAAACUCAAAGGAAUUGACGGGGACCCGCACAAGCGGUGGAGCAUGUGGUUUAAUUCGAAGCAACGCGAAGAACCUUACCAAAUCUUGACAUCCUUUGACAACUCUAGAGAUAGAGCCUUCCCCUUCGGGGGACAAAGUGACAGGUGGUGCAUGGUUGUCGUCAGCUCGUGUCGUGAGAUGUUGGGUUAAGUCCCGCAACGAGCGCAACCCUUAAGCUUAGUUGCCAUCAUUAAGUUGGGCACUCUAAGUUGACUGCCGGUGACAAACCGGAGGAAGGUGGGGAUGACGUCAAAUCAUCAUGCCCCUUAUGAUUUGGGCUACACACGUGCUACAAUGGACAAUACAAAGGGCAGCAAAACCGCGAGGUCAAGCAAAUCCCAUAAAGUUGUUCUCAGUUCGGAUUGUAGUCUGCAACUCGACUACAUGAAGCUGGAAUCGCUAGUAAUCGUAGAUCAGCAUGCUACGGUGAAUACGUUCCCGGGUCU